GAUGAACGCUGGCGGCGUGCCUAAUACAUGCAAGUCGAGCGAACAGACGAGGAGCUUGCUCCUCUGACGUUAGCGGCGGACGGGUGAGUAACACGUGGUUAACCUACCUAUAAGACUGGGAUAACUUCGGGAAACCGGAGCUAAUACCGGAUAACAUGUUGAACCGCAUGGUUCAACAGUGAAAGACGGUCUUGCUGUCACUUAUAGAUGGAUCCGCGCCGCAUUAGCUAGUUGGUAAGGUAACGGCUUACCAAGGCAACGAUGCGUAGCCGACCUGAGAGGGUGAUCGGCCACACUGGAACUGAGACACGGUCCAGACUCCUACGGGAGGCAGCAGUAGGGAAUCUUCCGCAAUGGGCGAAAGCCUGACGGAGCAACGCCGCGUGAGUGAUGAAGGUCUUCGGAUCGUAAAACUCUGUUAUUAGGGAAGAACAAAUGUGUAAGUAACUAUGCACGUCUUGACGGUACCUAAUCAGAAAGCCACGGCUAACUACGUG
This 497-nucleotide ribosomal RNA is filed under the name uncultured bacterium. Its description in RNAcentral is "partial 16S ribosomal RNA". It matches the Rfam family "Bacterial small subunit ribosomal RNA", at positions 28 to 507 of the family's 1533-position model. The record is from RNAcentral.